Rhodamnia argentea is the source of this 293-nucleotide long non-coding RNA. RefSeq lists it as uncharacterized. The transcript is spliced from 3 exons. NCBI's taxonomy places the organism in Eukaryota, Viridiplantae, Streptophyta, Magnoliopsida, Myrtales, Myrtaceae. The record is from RefSeq and is a predicted model, not a curated record.
CUCUCUACAGAGGUAUGACGCUCUUCCGUUCCUCCAUUUUCUUUUAUUCACUUCUUCUUCACCGACGCUCACCUUCUUCGUCAUUGAAGGUCCGGCUCUUCUUCACCGACGCUCUUCAUUUUCGCCAUUGAAGCUCGUCAUUGAAGCUGGCUCUUCUUCAACGACGCUCAACAAAGCUCCGGAUCCUAGAGUUAUCAAGCUUGUUUGGAGAUUCUACCCUACCACAAGAGCUAUAAGCAAUGGGCAAGACUAGAGAAGGGAAGGCCAAGCAUUUCGGAUGGUUGGGUCCUAUG